This 253-nucleotide ribosomal RNA is filed under the name uncultured bacterium. RNAcentral describes it as "partial 16S ribosomal RNA". It matches the Rfam family "Bacterial small subunit ribosomal RNA", at positions 524 to 776 of the family's 1533-position model. The record is from RNAcentral.
UACGGAGGAUCCGAGCGUUAUCCGGAUUUAUUGGGUUUAAAGGGAGCGUAGGUGGAUUGUUAAGUCAGUUGUGAAAGUUUGCGGCUCAACCGUAAAAUUGCAGUUGAAACUGGCAGUCUUGAGUACAGUAGAGGUGGGCGGAAUUCGUGGCGUAGCGGUGAAAUGCUUAGAUAUCACGAAGAACUCCGAUUGCGAAGGCAGCUCACUGGACUGCAACUGACACUGAGGCUCGAAAGUGUGGGUAUCAAACAGG